RNAcentral lists this ribosomal RNA (253 nucleotides) under uncultured bacterium. Its description in RNAcentral is "partial 16S ribosomal RNA". It matches the Rfam family "Bacterial small subunit ribosomal RNA", at positions 524 to 776 of the family's 1533-position model. The record is from RNAcentral.
UACGUAGGGUGCAAGCGUUGUCCGGAAUUAUUGGGCGUAAAGAGCUCGUAGGCGGUUUGUCGCGUCUGCUGUGAAAACCCGAGGCUCAACCUCGGGCCUGCAGUGGGUACGGGCAGACUAGAGUGCGGUAGGGGAGAUUGGAAUUCCUGGUGUAGCGGUGGAAUGCGCAGAUAUCAGGAGGAACACCAAUGGCAAAGGCAGAUCUCUGGGCCGUAACUGACGCUGAGGAGCGAAAGCAUGGGGAGCGAACAGG